RNAcentral lists this long non-coding RNA (769 nucleotides) under Salmo salar (Atlantic salmon). RNAcentral's name for it is "lncRNA (ENSSSAG00000092538.1)". The record is from RNAcentral. Lineage: Eukaryota; Metazoa; Chordata; Actinopteri; Salmoniformes; Salmonidae.
CCUAGAACCAGUGCUCUUGUUUAAGCACCUGUGGUUGGUUUGUGUCCCUGUGCAUUCUGCAGCCUACUGUCUCGGUGCUCCCCAUGUCCUGGGUGACAGUAGUGGGAGAUCAGAAGCAUCGUGUCCUGGGUGACAGUAGUGGGAGAUCGGAAGCAUCGUGUCCUGGGUGACAGUAGUGGGAGAUCGGAAGCAUCGUGUCCUGGGUGACAGUAGUGGGAGAUCGGAAGCAUCGUGUCCUGGGUGACAGUAGUGGGAGAUCGGAAGCAUCGUGUCCUGGGUGACAGUAGUGGGAGAUCGGAAGCAUCGUGUCCUGGGUGACAGUAGUGGGAGAUCAGAAGCAUCGUGUCCUGGGUGACAGUAGUGGUAGGUCAGAAGCAUCGUGUCCUGGGUGACUGUAGUGGGAGGUCAGAAGCAUCGUGUCCUGGGUGACAGUAGUGGGAGGUCAGAAGCAUCGUGUCCUGGGUGACAGUAGUGGGAGGUCAGAAGCAUCGUGUCCUGGGUGACAGUAGUGGGAGGUCGGAAGCAUCGUGUCCUGGGUGACAGUAGUGGGAGGUCAGAAGCACGUGUCCUGGGUGACAGUAGUGGGAGAUCGGAAGCAUCGGCGGCGUGGCAGACCACUGGUUCAACAGCCUCUCAUCUGCUUGGCCUGUCCAACGGGCCUGUUUGGAUUGGGACGGCCCAUAAAGUUCAGUGUGGAGUUAAAUUGUCACUGUCAGACAGGAGCUGUUUACCGUUACUCGUUACACCCCGAUGAUUUAUCAGGUUUUCC